Molecule: transfer RNA, 82 nt
Filed under: Lottia gigantea (owl limpet)
Lineage: Eukaryota; Metazoa; Mollusca; Gastropoda; Lottiidae
Description: tRNA-Ser for anticodon CGA
Rfam family: tRNA
About the family: Transfer RNA (tRNA) molecules are approximately 80 nucleotides in length.
Source: Rfam by way of RNAcentral
GCUGCGAUAGCCGAGUGGUUAAGGCGUUCGACUCGAAAUCCAAUGGGAUAUUCCCGCGCAGGUUCAAAUCCUGCUCGUAUCG